ACGGGUGAGUAAUGCUUGGGAAUCUGGGUUAUGGUUGGGGAUAACUACGGGAAACUGUAUCUAAUACCGCGUAAAUCUUCCGAUUGAGGGUGGGACUUUCGGGCCCCCUGCCAUGAGAUGAAUCCAAUUGGAAUUAAUUAGUUGGUAAGGUAAGGCUGACCAACCCCAACAUCUCUACCUGGUCUUAAAAGGUUAACCUGAGACUGGAACUGGAACACCGGCCCAAAUCCCUCCGGAAGGAGCAAUGGGGAAAAUUGGGCCAUGGGGGGAACCCCUGUGCCGCCAAGGCGGACGAACUGAGAAAGGCCUUCGGUUUUUAAGCUUCUUUCGGUUGGUGAAAGAGUAUUUGUUUUAAGCGUCUAUUAUUGUGACUUUACCCACAUGAAACUCACCGACUAUCUCCGUCCACCUCCCCGCGGUUACCCAGGGGGCGCAGAGUUUUAGCGUAUACAUCGGGGUAUAGGGGACACAGGGGGCGUAAGUUAAUGAGGGGUGUAAAUGCGGGGGCUCUCGUGAAUAGCGCUUUAACUGGGAAACGCUGUACUACUGGGAGGCGUAGAAUACUCAAGUAGCAGUGAAAUGCUGAGAUAUGUGGAGGAAUACCGACGGCAACGGCAGCCACUCCCGAACGAACUUACGCUCCUGUUCGUAAGUUUGCGUACGGUAGCUGGAUUAAAUCCAC
Molecule: ribosomal RNA, 682 nt
Filed under: uncultured bacterium
Lineage: Bacteria
Description: bacterial SSU rRNA
Rfam family: Bacterial small subunit ribosomal RNA
Source: RNAcentral